Molecule: ribosomal RNA, 800 nt
Filed under: uncultured bacterium
Lineage: Bacteria
Description: bacterial SSU rRNA
Rfam family: Bacterial small subunit ribosomal RNA
Source: RNAcentral
AGAGUUUGAUCCUGGCUCAGAUUGAACGCUGGCGGCAGGCCUAACACAUGCAAGUCGAACGGUAACAGGAAGCAGCUUGCUGCUUUGCUGACGAGUGGCGGACGGGUGAGUAAUGUCUGGGAAACUGCCUGAUGGAGGGGGAUAACUACUGGAAACGGUAGCUAAUACCGCAUAACGUCGCAAGACCAAAGAGGGGGACCUUCGGGCCUCUUGCCAUCGGAUGUGCCCAGAUGGGAUUAGCUAGUAGGUGGGGUAAAGGCUCACCUAGGCGACGAUCCCUAGCUGGUCUGAGAGGAUGACCAGCCACACUGGAACUGAGACACGGUCCAGACUCCUACGGGAGGCAGCAGUGGGGAAUAUUGCACAAUGGGCGCAAGCCUGAUGCAGCCAUGCCGCGUGUAUGAAGAAGGCCUUCGGGUUGUAAAGUACUUUCAGCGGGGAGGAAGGGAGUAAAGUUAAUACCUUUGCUCAUUGACGUUACCCGCAGAAGAAGCACCGGCUAACUCCGUGCCAGCGGCCGCGGUAAUACGGAGGGUGCAAGCGUUAAUCGGAAUUACUGGGCGUAAAGCGCACGCAGGCGGUUUGUUAAGUCAGAUGUGAAAUCCCCGGGCUCAACCUGGGAACUGCAUCUGAUACUGGCAAGCUCGAGUCUCGUAGAGGGGGGUAGAAUUCCGGGUGUAGCGGUGAAAUGCGUAGAGAUCUGGAGGAAUACCGGUGGCGAAGGCGGCCCCCUGGACGAAGACUGACGCUCAGGUGCGAAAGCGUGGGGAGCAAACAGGAUUAGAUACCCUGGUAGUCCA